Molecule: long non-coding RNA, 229 nt
Filed under: Lathyrus oleraceus (garden pea)
Lineage: Eukaryota; Viridiplantae; Streptophyta; Magnoliopsida; Fabales; Fabaceae
Description: Pisum sativum (pea) long non-coding RNA (PSAT_LNC012634)
Source: RNAcentral
CUCAAUUCUCGGUAUUUUCCUUCAUUGAUGGUUGCUGGCGGUGACCAGAUCAACUAUCGCUAGAUGAUAUGAAGUAAAUAAUGUCCAUCACACCAAGGAGCACAUUCCUUGUCGUAAGAUGAUGUCAUUCAGUCUCAAAAGGGCCGGUGCCACGUAUCAAAGGUCAAGGGUGACUUUGUUUCAUGAUAUGAUUCAUCGUGAAAGCGAAUGCCAUGUUGAUGACAUGAUG